This 670-nucleotide ribosomal RNA is filed under the name Klebsiella pneumoniae. RNAcentral's name for it is "partial 23S ribosomal RNA". It matches the Rfam family "Bacterial large subunit ribosomal RNA", at positions 1183 to 1838 of the family's 2925-position model. The record is from RNAcentral. Lineage: Bacteria; Pseudomonadati; Pseudomonadota; Gammaproteobacteria; Enterobacterales; Enterobacteriaceae.
UAAACCAUGCACCGAAGCUGCGGCAGCGACACUAUGUGUUGUUGGGUAGGGGAGCGUUCUGUAAGCCUGCGAAGGUGUGCUGUGAGGCAUGCUGGAGGUAUCAGAAGUGCGAAUGCUGACAUAAGUAACGAUAAAGCGGGUGAAAAGCCCGCUCGCCGGAAGACCAAGGGUUCCUGUCCAACGUUAAUCGGGGCAGGGUGAGUCGACCCCUAAGGCGAGGCCGAAAGGCGUAGUCGAUGGGAAACAGGUUAAUAUUCCUGUACUUGGUGUUACUGCGAAGGGGGGACGGAGAAGGCUAUGUUAGCCGGGCGACGGUUGUCCCGGUUUAAGCAUGUAGGCUGGUUGUCCAGGCAAAUCCGGAUAAUCAAGGCUGAGGUGUGAUGACGAGGCACUACGGUGCUGAAGUAACAAAUGCCCUGCUUCCAGGAAAAGCCUCUAAGCAUCAGGUAACAUCAAAUCGUACCCCAAACCGACACAGGUGGUCAGGUAGAGAAUACCAAGGCGCUUGAGAGAACUCGGGUGAAGGAACUAGGCAAAAUGGUGCCGUAACUUCGGGAGAAGGCACGCUGGUGUGUAGGUGAAGCCCCUGCGGGUGGAGCUGAGACCAGUCGAAGAUACCAGCUGGCUGCAACUGUUUAUUAAAAACACAGCACUGUGCAAACACGAAAGU